AGGCAUUCUUUUUGCAUGUUGGUAUUC
Molecule: non-coding RNA, 27 nt
Filed under: Mus musculus (house mouse)
Lineage: Eukaryota; Metazoa; Chordata; Mammalia; Rodentia; Muridae
Source: RNAcentral